This 576-nucleotide ribosomal RNA is filed under the name uncultured eukaryote. RNAcentral's name for it is "bacterial SSU rRNA". It matches the Rfam family "Eukaryotic small subunit ribosomal RNA", at positions 6 to 552 of the family's 1831-position model. The record is from RNAcentral.
GGUUGAUCCUCCCCGUAGUCAUAUGCUUGUUUUAAGGAUUAAGCCAUGCAUGUCUCUGGUCAAGCGAUCUUGUACCGUGGAACUGGGAACGGCUCAUUUCAACCGUUCUUGUUUAUUUGAUCCUGCGGAGCUACGUGGAUAACCGUAGGAAUUCCAGAGAUAAUACAUGCCCCGUCGCCGCAGAUCUAACCCUAGACCUUGGCGGGGUUUAUUAGAUCAAAAACCAAUCGCUUCCUGUUUUUUUUUACAGUAAGCGUGGCCGGAUGAAUCAUAAUAACUUUACCGAAUCACAUGGCCGUGAUUUUGGCCGGUGAUAAAUCAUUCAAAUUUUUGCCCUAUCAACUUUUCAUGGUAGGGUAGUGGCCUACCAUGGUGUUGGCGGGUAACGGAGAAUUAGGGUUCGAUUCCGGGGAGGGAGCCUGAGAAACGGCUACCCCAUCCAAGGAAGGCAGCAGGCGGGCCAAUUACCCAAUCCUGAUUCCGGGAGGUAGCGACAAGAAAUAACGAUAGCGGGCUCGUUCGAGUCCGCGCAUCAAAGGGGGGAUAAUUUACACCCCUUCUCGAGGAUCCAUUGGC